ACUUAAAAGAGGAGAACGGAAAAAUAAUACAUUUUAUGAUAAUGUAAACGUUCCUAUAAGGGGAAAUGACUUGCAGUAGGAGAGUCUGCGCAUUGGCUACAAACGUUGACAUUGUUGACAAAUGACAGGUUUAGAAAGUCGUUUUUGUAAAUGCAUUGUACCGAUUUCACGUGAUUUUUUCAUUGUUCCAAUUUUAUUUCGCCUCAACUCAAGUGUUGUUGAAAGUAUUGGAAGUAUGCCUGAUCAUUGUUUCAUCGGGUCCUGUAGCAGCAGCGGUAAUAUUCCUGGAGUUCAUUAUUUUAGUUUUGGGUCCAAGAAAAAGGAAUGGUUGGAGAUUUUGGGAAUCUCAGGAGUGGAAAAUAUGAGUCCCAGAAAUAAGCUUUGUUCCAGGCAUUUUGAUUGUUGUGAUAUCAACUUUCCAGCUACUCCUAGUGGACCAAAAGAUAAGAAAAGUCUUGUAUGUUACAGAUGGAAAAAUUUCAAGUGAAUCUCAAUUUUUCAAUCAUUUUGUUUUGAAUGUUUCAACCGAUCUACUCUACUGGCCACUAUUCUCUGAUUUAGACAGUCAUAAUAAAGAAUUUUUGACACUAGCAGAAAAUCAUAAGUCCAGGAUAAUCAAGUCUUUAUGCAUUUCAUAUUUGAAAAUUAGACUUUUCAAUUUAGCAAAGUCACAAAGCUAUGAGAUUAAAGGCAAUUUGAUCAGAAAAAAACUGAGCAAACUGAUUUUAUUCAAUCAUCAGUAAAUUUUCAUCUUCCUGUCAUGUAAAUAUCUGAUUGUUCUUCCACAUAUUCAAUAACUAUAUCUUUCAGAACCACAAAUCUGUUGUCUACAUACCAAUGAGUAGAUAAAUAUCUAAUUUUAGAUUCCACGACUCGGGUCAAAUUAAGUUUCCACUAGACUGUAGAUGUCAUCAGUAACCUCUUGUCUUUUCGGUAUAUUAUGUAUAAACUUCAAUGAAAAUAUUAAUCACUUGAUUGACAUUAACAAUUCCAUUACACAACUUUGUAUACAAUUCUGUGAUGUGUUAUUGUUAGAUAUUAUUGAAUAUCAAAAUAAUUCCAAUAACAUACAAAAUAAUCUGACAUUCCAGAGAAUGCAUUGGAAUACAGUUAUGUAACGUUUAUGAGAUUUUUUGUAAAUUGGUUAGAUUUCACUCGAAUUUCCAUGUGCAGACUCUCAACUGGUUUGGCUGGAUGACAUUUUCUGUAUGUUAAGUGAAUGAUACCACAAAAAAGUAGUUUUUUGCAAUGUAUAGCAAUGUUUUUGAUAUUGGAAAUUACUAUCAAGUUAUAUUGUUUGUCAGAACAUGAUUAUUAUUUUUAUUGAUUUGUAAUUAUCACAUUAAAAUAAAUUAUUCAUUACUA
This is a long non-coding RNA of Leptinotarsa decemlineata (Colorado potato beetle), 1365 nucleotides long. Lineage: Eukaryota; Metazoa; Arthropoda; Insecta; Coleoptera; Chrysomelidae. The record is from RefSeq and is a predicted model, not a curated record.